RNAcentral lists this ribosomal RNA (499 nucleotides) under uncultured bacterium. RNAcentral's name for it is "bacterial SSU rRNA". It matches the Rfam family "Bacterial small subunit ribosomal RNA", at positions 899 to 1397 of the family's 1533-position model. The record is from RNAcentral.
ACUCAAAGGAAUUGACGGGGGCCCGCACAAGCGGUGGAGCAUGUGGUUCAAUUCGACGCAACGCGAAGAACCUUACCUGGGCUCGAACGGCUCACGACAGCGCCUGGAAACAGGUGCUUCCCGCAAGGGACGGGAGUCGAGGUGCUGCAUGGCUGUCGUCAGCUCGUGUCGUGAGAUGUUGGGUUAAGUCCCGCAACGAGCGCAACCCUUGCCCUGUGUUGCUACUCCGUAAGGAGGCACUCUCAGGGGACCGCCAGCGAUAAGCUGGAGGAAGGUGGGGAUGACGUCAAGUCAGCAUGGCCUUUAUGUCCAGGGCUACACACGUGCUACAAUGGCCGGUACAAAGCGUUCCCAAGCCGCGAGGCGGAGGUAAUCGCAAAAAGCCGGUCUCAGUUCGGAUUGCAGGCUGCAACUCGCCUGCAUGAAGCUGGAAUCGCUAGUAAUGCUGCAUCAGAACGGUAGCGUGAAUACGUUCCCGGGCCUUGUACACACCGCCCGU